CGUGUAGGCGGUUCGGUAAGUUGGAUGUGAAAGCUCCCGGCUCAACUGGGAGAGGACGUUCAAAACUAUUGGACUAGAGGGCGGAAGAGGGAGGUGGAAUUCCCGGUGUAGUGGUGAAAUGCGUAGAUACCGGGAGGAACACCAGUGGCGAAGGCGGCCUCCUGGGCCGCACCUGACGCUCAGACGCGAAAGCUAGGGUAGCAAACG
This 207-nucleotide ribosomal RNA is filed under the name uncultured bacterium. RNAcentral describes it as "partial 16S ribosomal RNA". It matches the Rfam family "Bacterial small subunit ribosomal RNA", at positions 568 to 774 of the family's 1533-position model. The record is from RNAcentral.